Molecule: ribosomal RNA, 253 nt
Filed under: uncultured bacterium
Lineage: Bacteria
Description: partial 16S ribosomal RNA
Rfam family: Bacterial small subunit ribosomal RNA
Source: RNAcentral
UACGUAGGGGGCAAGCGUUGUCCGGAUUUAUUGGGCGUAAAGAGCGUGUAGGCGGCCAGGUAGGUCGGCUGUGAAAACUCGAGGCUCAACCUCGAGCUGUCGGCCGAAACCAUCUGGCUAGAGUCCGGAAGAGGAGAAUGGAAUUCCCGGUGUAGUGGUGAAAUGCGCAGAUAUCGGGAAGAACACCCGUGGCGAAGGCGGUUCUCUGGGCCGAUACUGACGCUGAGGAGCGAAAGCGUGGGGAGCGAACAGG